CAGCACAGGACAGCAGCCUGCGAGCGCGGGAGUUAAGAAAAUUGAAACGGACUCUCGGGCCUUGGGAAACUCGUGGGCUCGUGGUACGUACCAUCAAAGUGGGCCGAACUCAACUUCCGCCCACGGGAGCUCCCCCAAGGAAAAAAUAAUAAUAUCACGGGAGCUAAUAAGUGCCGGCGAUAUGAGCUCGUUUUAAGCUCCUGAAGAAAAAAAAACUCCGGUCUGCAGGCAUCGCUCAAAUAUAGUGUAUGACUUGUGGACCUUCCUUCGAAGCGUAAAACAGAAUUAGGAACCACUAGUCUUCCCCUGAUGAGCAAAUCAAGCAAGAGAUGUUAGAGUAAAGCAAAGCAUACUACUCCAUGAGCGGAAUCCUGUAAUAAUAAUAAUACGGAGUGCUGUAAUAAAAUGAUGAUGACAUGGAUCUCGAUGCGGCGCAAUCAACACCAGGAAUCCCUGAUGAGGAUCGAUCGACGGUCGACGUGGGCCUAGAGAGGCAACGUGCACGUGCGGCCUGCCCUACCGUUGCUUGCAACGCGUCAAUCCACGGAGCUUCCCGACGUUGCAUCAAGUAGGAGUAGGUAAUUUUCUGUAUCUUUGGCCCAUCCAUCGGGUGUCGAUAAAAGUUGAGAAAAACAAAAGCUGGAUAUUUUUACCGUUCGCUUUCAGUCAUUGCAUCAGUUCGUAAAGUCUUCACAGAAACGUACUCCGUUUCAUAAUUUUUGUCUCAAAUUUAAAAAAUAAAAUAAAAUAUUUAAUCUUAAAAACGUCUAAAUACAUGUAAUAUUCAACAAGAAUUAUGUAAUGGAGGAAGUGUAGUGAAAGAAAGAGAAAUGAAAGCGCC
RNAcentral lists this long non-coding RNA (841 nucleotides) under Brachypodium distachyon (stiff brome). RNAcentral's name for it is "long non-coding RNA (BDIS_LNC002413)". Lineage: Eukaryota; Viridiplantae; Streptophyta; Magnoliopsida; Poales; Poaceae. The record is from RNAcentral.